AAGAAUGAUUUUCCAACCACUACUAACCAGCAAAUGCAGCAAUUUGACCAACUGCUACAGGAACUAAUUUGGCUUAGAAAAGUGUUGGCUGAAGAUGGAGAAGGGAGACUCCAGAAAUUUUAGGACUUAAAAGGAAGGAUAAUGGAAAAGGAAGAAUUUUUCAGAGAGUGGAGUCAAGAGUCAAGAAUCAAGGAAGAAGCAACUCUCAUGAACUAGAACUAAGGCUCAAUUGGGAACAUUCCCUACUUCAAAUUUGGAAGACAGAAUCUCAUUUUUUUUUCCUUUAAAAUUUUAGUUUCUUAACCAAAAUGUAUUCCAUGUAGAGGCUAUAUGAAGACCUUGGGUCAUUCAUUGCUGAGCUUGAAUGGAGGUUUUACACUGUCCUUUACAUGAAAAAAACUGUGUUGAAUUUUGCAUAAAGAGGGAGAAAGAAGCCUGAAAAAGAAGACACAUGGAGAAGACCUUCAACUACAUUGAAGCUGCCAACAUGUAACAGAGAUAGAAAUAUAGCAUAGCUAUAAACCGCAAAUAUCCUGUGGCUGUUUGCUGCUAUAGAAUAACCUAAAAAUGCUGACAAGCAUAGUGCUAUGCCUACAAGACUGAAAGCCUGAAAAUUAAACUUCACCUGAUCCGUUUCCAUCUCGACUGUGAUUAAUUACUGUCAGUAGGAGAUUUCUUCAGCAUUAGAAGAAAUGUGGGUUAUUUUCCCAGAAAUACCACAUUCU
This 725-nucleotide long non-coding RNA is filed under the name Homo sapiens (human). Its description in RNAcentral is "HSALNT0070518". The record is from RNAcentral. Lineage: Eukaryota; Metazoa; Chordata; Mammalia; Primates; Hominidae.